AGCGGCGGACGGGUGAGUAACGCGUGGGUAACCUGCCCUGUACACACGGAUAACAUACCGAAAGGUAUGCUAAUACGAGAUAAUAUGCUUUUAUCGCAUGGUGGAAGUAUCAAAGCUUUUGCGGUACAGGAUGGACCCGCGUCUGAUUAGCUAGUUGGUAAGGUAACGGCUUACCAAGGCGACGAUCAGUAGCCGACCUGAGAGGGUGAUCGGCCACAUUGGAACUGAGACACGGUCCAAACUCCUACGGGAGGCAGCAGUGGGGAAUAUUGCGCAAUGGGCGAAAGCCUGAUGCAGCAACGCCGCGUGAGCGAUGAAGGCCUUCGGGUCGUAAAGCUCUGUCCUCAAGGAAGAUAAUGACGGUACUUGAGGAGGAAGCCCCGGCUAACUACGUGCCAGCAGCCGCGGUAAUACGUAGGGGGCUAGCGUUAUCCGGAAUUACUGGGCGUAUAGGGUGCGUAGGUGGUUUCUUAAGUCAGAGGUGAAAGGCUACGGCUCAACCGUAGUAAGCCUUUGAAACUGGGAAACUUGAGUGCAGGAGAGGAGAGUGGAAUUCCUAGUGUAGCGGUGAAAUGCGUAGAUAUUAGGAGGAACACCAGUUGCGAAGGCGGCUCUCUGGACUGUAACUGACACUGAGGCACGAAAGCGUGGGGAGCAAACAGGAUUAGAUACCCUGGUAGUCCACGCCGUAAACGAUGAGUACUAGCUGU
Molecule: ribosomal RNA, 710 nt
Filed under: uncultured bacterium
Lineage: Bacteria
Description: bacterial SSU rRNA
Rfam family: Bacterial small subunit ribosomal RNA
Source: RNAcentral